This 433-nucleotide ribosomal RNA is filed under the name uncultured bacterium. Its description in RNAcentral is "bacterial SSU rRNA". It matches the Rfam family "Bacterial small subunit ribosomal RNA", at positions 958 to 1392 of the family's 1533-position model. The record is from RNAcentral.
AACGCGAAGAACCUUACCUGGGUUUGACAUGCACCAGAUAGGCGUAGAGAUACGUCUUCCCUUGUGGUUGGCGUACAGGUGGUGCAUGGCUGUCGUCAGCUCGUGUCGUGAGAUGUUGGGUUAAGUCCCGCAACGAGCGCAACCCUUACCCUGUGUUGCCAGCACGUGAUGGUGGGGACUCGCGGGAGACUGCCGGGGUCAACUCGGAGGAAGGUGGGGAUGACGUCAAGUCAUCAUGCCCCUUAUGUCCAGGGCUUCACACAUGCUACAAUGGCUGGUACAGAGGGUGGCGAUACCGUGAGGUGGAGCGAAUCCUCAAAGCCGGUCUCAGUUCGGAUCGGGGUCUGCAACUCGACCCCGUGAAGUCGGAGUCGCUAGUAAUCGCAGAUCAGCAGUGCUGCGGUGAAUACGUUCCCGGGUCUUGUACACACCG